This 403-nucleotide ribosomal RNA is filed under the name Fusobacteriota bacterium. RNAcentral describes it as "Fusobacteria bacterium partial 16S ribosomal RNA". It matches the Rfam family "Bacterial small subunit ribosomal RNA", at positions 355 to 776 of the family's 1533-position model. Lineage: Bacteria; Fusobacteriati; Fusobacteriota. The record is from RNAcentral.
UGGGGAAUUUUGCACAAUGGAGGAAACUCUGAUGCAGCGACGCCGCGUGAACGAAGAAGGUCUUCGGAUUGUAAAGUUCUGUCCUGGGUGAAGAUAAUGACGGUAACUUAGGAGGAAGCUCCGGCUAACUACGUGCCAGCAGCCGCGGUAAUACGUAGGGGGCGAGCGUUGUUCGGAAUUAUUGGGCGUAAAGGGUACGUAGGCGGUUUGUUAAGUUUGGUGUUAAAUCACGGGGCUCAACCCCGUUCAGCGUUGAAAACUGGCAAACUUGAGUAGUAGAGGGGGAAGUGGAAUUCCUAGUGUAGCGGUGAAAUGCGUAGAGAUUAGGAAGAAUACCGGUGGCGAAGGCGACUGUCUGGAUACAUACUGACGCUGAGGUACGAAAGCGUGGGGAGCAAACGGG